AUCGCUUCUCGGCCUUUUGGCUAAGAUCAAGUGUAGUGUCUAAAAAGAAUAGCCACAUCUGAAAUCCUAGAAAUUACUGUCCAGUUUUAACCAAGAAAAGACUAGUAUAUUUUUUAGCUUUUGCCAGAAUCUAAUUUAUAUUCUACUUUUUUUCAGAGAUGUCUUUUUUGGGCCAAAGAUCUCGUU
This is a small nuclear RNA of Ochotona curzoniae (black-lipped pika), 186 nucleotides long. RefSeq annotates it as U2 spliceosomal RNA. Lineage: Eukaryota; Metazoa; Chordata; Mammalia; Lagomorpha; Ochotonidae. The record is from RefSeq and is a predicted model, not a curated record. The transcript has a single exon.